This 301-nucleotide ribosomal RNA is filed under the name uncultured bacterium. Its description in RNAcentral is "partial 16S ribosomal RNA". It matches the Rfam family "Bacterial small subunit ribosomal RNA", at positions 509 to 809 of the family's 1533-position model. The record is from RNAcentral.
CAGCCGCCGCGGUAAGACGGAGGGUGCUAGCGUUGUUCGGAAUCACUGGGCGUAAAGGGCGCGUAGGCGGCCUGUUAAGUCGGAUGUGAAAGCCCGGGGCUCAACCCCGGAACUGCAUCCGAGACUGGCAGGCUUGAGACCGGGAGAGGAGGGUGGAAUAUCCAGUGUAGAGGUGAAAUUCGUAGAUAUUGGAUGGAACACCGGUGGCGAAAGCGGCUCUCUGGCCCGGAUCUGACGCUGAGGCGCGAAAGCGUGGGGAGCAAACAGGAUUAGAUACCCCGGUAGUCCCUGUCUCUUAUAA